UUAUUUUGAAACGCUGAACUUCCUGUCCGUCAUUUUGGCAGUAAAAAGUGUUGUUCUCGAUUGGAUACCCUUGCGCUCGCUUACAAAAACCGAAUUUAACAAAGAUUUUUCGGUGUUUCCGACUUCACUAGCAUACCACCAACGAAUAUUUAAUUUAAUAAACAUGGACCAAAUGGAAGACCCCGCUGGAUCGGAUAAUAAACGAGCUAUAGAGCGGAAAAGGAGUUGAAGAUGCCAAAGGAGGACUUAAGAGAGGACAAGCUUUCAACAUCAGCACCGUCCAUCACUUUGUUCCUCACCCAAUCCCCUAAACCUCAGGCACAGGCCCUGGUUUAGCCAGAGUCCUCACCCGAAUACUCCAUUUAAGUUCAG
Long non-coding RNA from Cyprinus carpio (common carp), 372 nucleotides. RefSeq lists it as uncharacterized. The transcript is spliced from 3 exons. Lineage: Eukaryota; Metazoa; Chordata; Actinopteri; Cypriniformes; Cyprinidae. The record is from RefSeq and is a predicted model, not a curated record.